RNAcentral lists this long non-coding RNA (261 nucleotides) under Gossypium barbadense (sea-island cotton). RNAcentral describes it as "long non-coding RNA (GBAR_LNC017987)". Lineage: Eukaryota; Viridiplantae; Streptophyta; Magnoliopsida; Malvales; Malvaceae. The record is from RNAcentral.
AUAGGUAUUGAGUCGAGAGAAUAUGUGGCUAGAGAAUGAGAGAAGAAGAAGAUCCAUUACUAUGAGGCUAGGAGAGGUAUCUAAGGUUGACUUUCUCAUACAUGUGCCUUUAUUUAAUUGGUAGGCCUUUCAUUUAGUGGUUCCCCUGCUAGGUUGACAAUGUGAUAAGAUGUGAGUGGGUUGUAGAGUCUGUUGAUAAUUAGUGACAACCAUCUUGUUACCAUGGUUGAGUUGUUGGAGUGGUUGAGUGACGUAUUUGUG